Long non-coding RNA from Cydia fagiglandana, 176 nucleotides. RefSeq lists it as uncharacterized. The record is from RefSeq and is a predicted model, not a curated record. NCBI's taxonomy places the organism in Eukaryota, Metazoa, Arthropoda, Insecta, Lepidoptera, Tortricidae. The transcript has 3 exons.
AUUUUAAUAAAGUGAAAAACCGUUAACAAACAAUAACUUUGUUUUCAGGCGAAUAUCGCAAAACAAGAGAACAUUUUCAACUAUUUCAACAAUAAAAUUCGUUCGUUGUCUGCGCCGGUGAAAAAGUUAAGCAUGCAGGUUCCAAAUAAGCAAAAAGACGAGGCUUUUCAGGUACU